UACGGAGGAUGCGAGCGUUAUCCGGAUUUAUUGGGUUUAAAGGGUGCGUAGGCGGCUUAGUAAGUCAGCGGUGAAAUUUUGCAGCUUAACUGUAACAGUGCCGUUGAUACUGCCAGGCUAGGAUUUGGUUGCUGUGGGUGGAAUGUGUGGUGUAGCGGUGAAAUGCUUAGAUAUCACACAGAAUAUCGAUUGCGAAGGCAGCUCACAAAGCCAAGAUUGACGCUGAGGCACGAAAGUGUGGGGAGGCAAACCGGA
RNAcentral lists this ribosomal RNA (255 nucleotides) under uncultured prokaryote. Its description in RNAcentral is "partial 16S ribosomal RNA". It matches the Rfam family "Bacterial small subunit ribosomal RNA", at positions 524 to 777 of the family's 1533-position model. The record is from RNAcentral.